This 490-nucleotide long non-coding RNA is filed under the name Cricetulus griseus (Chinese hamster). RNAcentral's name for it is "lncRNA (ENSCGRG00000024627.1)". Lineage: Eukaryota; Metazoa; Chordata; Mammalia; Rodentia; Cricetidae. The record is from RNAcentral.
AAGACACGGGAAGAAAAGAGUGUAGAAUUCCCGAAGCCGUGGACCUAAGCAAUGUGGUCUGCAAACCAGAGUCUGAGAAGUGUUGUAUUUUGCCGGGUAAGGUAAAAAGAACUGUACACCGGAGGGAGCUUAUAAGACAUCAACGACGGAAUGUUCAGGCAACAAAAGAAGACAGGACAAGACAAGACAAAAUGAAUCACAGGCUCCAGGCUCAGGGAGAGACCCUUCUUCGUGGGAAGAAGACAGAGGACAGAGGGAGAUACCUGGUGACGUCCCUUAACAGAGCUGCAAAAUAUGGACUGUAGACCACAGAGGAGCUGGAAGAGUUCUGAGAGGUGAAGCACUGAGGAGAAAGGGUUGUAGUAGAUUGUGUCCCCCACCCCUAGGGUGUUUGCAAUUUGAGGGAGACCUUGGCAGGCAGCCAUGCUCACUGCUAUACCACCAAUGUGGCAUCUUGGGGACACCUCAGGAAUAUCAUCUGGCUGCUUUU